AAGUCACUUCACUUCCCUGUCACUCAGAUAACCUCAUCUGUAAAAUGGGGAUUAAGACUGUGGGACAAGGACUGUGCCCAACCUAAUUAACUUUUAUCUACCACGACUCUUAGAAUAGUACCUGGCACACAGCAAGCACUUAACAAAUACCAUUAAAAAAACAAAACAAAAAACCCAGAUGACUGGUUUGUCCCUCCUGGGAGCCAACAGUUCCAGCUGUCUGAACACUUGGACUUGGGGUCCAAAUUGGGCCUAUUUAGGGCUUCUUUUGUCCAUCAGCACCAUCGUUCCCACCUUCUCCCAGGGACCAGAUCAGGACAACUGGGGAAUUCUGUUCUCUUUUUCAGGAAAAAGCAGCUGGGCCCAUGAAAUAAUAAUCCAGACCCUGGAGGAUUCGGCCUGGGGUCAUCCUCAUCGUCAAUGACCAGACCCAGGAAGAGGUUCCUGGCUUUAGCGCCUCCCUUGGAAACCCGAUCCUUGUCGAUCUACAAGGAAGGAUUGAUCCGCCCCGUGACAGGGUAGAUUGUGAACUCCUCCGUUCGACUGCGAGAUCCUUGAGAUCUCAAUUGGUUGCUAUUAUGGUGGCCGGGGAUGGAAUUCCAAAAUAACCCGGACCCUCGAGAUGCAUGGGAUGUCACAGGUGUUACGUCGGCAUAUAGCAUGAUGUGAUGAUGUCGUGAAGCUCUGGGGCGGGAGCCAAAGUGGAGGGUGCUAGAAAUAAAAAAUACUGGAUGUAAAGGUGUCUGCUCCCGGCUUCCUACUGGGCAGGGAACAGACCAGCUGAAAUCUGGCCUGUCCAAUAUAAAUUCAGAUAACUGUUCCCCCGUAUCGCUGAGCAUAUCGUUCUCGGUCUCGCAUCCAAUAUUGUCCGGCUUGACCAAACGGAAAGAGCACAGGCUUGGGAGGCAGAGAACUCAUGUUCUAUUCCCGGCUCUGCCAAUUGUUUGCUGUGUGACUUCGGUCAAGUCGCUUAACUUCUCGGUGCCUCAGUUUCCCCAACUGUAAAAAAUAAUUCUAUUUACUCACUUAACUUCUCUGUGCCUCAGUUUCCCUGUAAAAUAUAAUUCUAUUUAUAAUGAUGCUACUGAUGCCUGUUUACUUGUUUUGAUGUCUGUCUCCCCCCCUAGACUGUGAGCCCGUUGUGGGCAGGGAUUGUCUCUAUUUGUUGCUGAAUUGUACUUCUCAAAUGCUUAGUAGGUGCUCUGCACACAGUAAGCGCUCAAAAAAUACGAUUGAGUGAAUGAAUGAAUGAAUGAAUGAGGAUUUGAUACCUGUUCUCUCUCCUCCUUGGACUGUGAGCCCCAUGUGGGACUGGGACUGUGUACCCCAACAGUGCUUGACACAAAGUAAGCACUUAAUAAAAACCACAAAAAAGAACCAAAAAAGUAAAACCUGUCACUCCUUCUAGGGCUUCUUGGUAUGGU
Molecule: long non-coding RNA, 1424 nt
Filed under: Ornithorhynchus anatinus (platypus)
Lineage: Eukaryota; Metazoa; Chordata; Mammalia; Monotremata; Ornithorhynchidae
Description: lncRNA (ENSOANG00000044543.1)
Source: RNAcentral